This 472-nucleotide ribosomal RNA is filed under the name uncultured bacterium. Its description in RNAcentral is "partial 16S ribosomal RNA". It matches the Rfam family "Bacterial small subunit ribosomal RNA", at positions 28 to 507 of the family's 1533-position model. The record is from RNAcentral.
GACGAACGCUGGCGGCGUGCUUAACACAUGCAAGUCGAACGCUGAAGCUUGGUGCUUGCACUGGGUGGAUGAGUGGCGAACGGGUGAGUAAUACGUGAGUAACCUGCCCUUGACUCUGGGAUAAGCCUGGGAAACUGGGUCUAAUACUGGAUACGACAUGUCACCGCAUGGUGGUGUGUGGAAAGGGUUUUACUGGUUUUGGAUGGGCUCACGGCCUAUCAGCUUGUUGGUGGGGUAAUGGCUCACCAAGGCGACGACGGGUAGCCGGCCUGAGAGGGUGACCGGCCACACUGGGACUGAGACACGGCCCAGACUCCUACGGGAGGCAGCAGUGGGGAAUAUUGCACAAUGGGCGGAAGCCUGAUGCAGCGACGCUGCGUGAGGGAUGACGGCCUUCGGGUUGUAAACCUCUUUCAGCACGGAAGAAGCGAAAGUGACGGUACGUGCAGAAGAAGCGCCGGCUAACUACGUG